Long non-coding RNA from Rhipicephalus sanguineus (brown dog tick), 431 nucleotides. RefSeq lists it as uncharacterized. The record is from RefSeq and is a predicted model, not a curated record. NCBI's taxonomy places the organism in Eukaryota, Metazoa, Arthropoda, Arachnida, Ixodida, Ixodidae. The transcript is spliced from 3 exons.
CUUCACACAAUACGACGAAACGCGUUCUAUAAAAGCGUGUUGAGAUUUCUCAAGUGAGCACAAGAAACAGCGACGGGGACAAACGAACAGCAACAUCAAGAGACAAGAUGGUCAAAUCCUUGCUGGUUCUCUUCCUAGUCGUCGCAGUAGGAUGCGUUGUCCUUCGCUGCGCUGAUGCGCGCCUCCUGGAAGCUAAAGACCUCACUGAUCCAGUCACAGGCCUUCUUGACAACACCGUACAGGCCAGAGACCUCACUGACACUCUUGUGCCUGACGCUGGAAAGAAGGCGCUAAAGCCGCUAGACAAAGAUGGCUCUUCUCCUUCGAAAGUGGACCAGGUCGGCGGCACCUUGUAAAGAAUCCUCGACAGCGUUAAGGUGUACACGGAGAAUCUAUUUGUGACCUUACUGAAUAAAAAUUUUCAGCAUUUA